GACGGACGCUGGCGGCGUGCUUAACACAUGCAAGUCGAACGGAAAGGCCCCAGCUUGCUGGGGUACUCGAGUGGCGAACGGGUGAGUAACACGUGGGUGAUCUGCCCUGCACUCUGGGAUAAGCCUGGGAAACUGGGUCUAAUACCGGAUAGGACCGUGCUUUAGUGUGUGCGGUGGAAAGUUUUUCGGUGCAGGAUGAGCCCGCGGCCUAUCAGCUUGUUGGUGGGGUAAUGGCCUACCAAGGCGGCGACGGGUAGCCGGCCUGAGAGGGUGUACGGCCACAUUGGGACUGAGACACGGCCCAGACUCCUACGGGAGGCAGCAGUGGGGAAUAGUGCACAAUGGGCGCAAGCCUGAUGCAGCGACGCCGCGUGGGGGAGGACGGCCUUCGGGUUGUAAACCCCUUUCGGCAGGGACGAAGCUUUUGUGACGGUACCUGCAUAAGAAGCACCGGCUAACUACGU
RNAcentral lists this ribosomal RNA (464 nucleotides) under uncultured bacterium. Its description in RNAcentral is "partial 16S ribosomal RNA". It matches the Rfam family "Bacterial small subunit ribosomal RNA", at positions 28 to 506 of the family's 1533-position model. The record is from RNAcentral.